RNAcentral lists this ribosomal RNA (459 nucleotides) under uncultured bacterium. RNAcentral describes it as "partial 16S ribosomal RNA". It matches the Rfam family "Bacterial small subunit ribosomal RNA", at positions 338 to 794 of the family's 1533-position model. The record is from RNAcentral.
CCUACGGGAGGCAGCAGUGAGGAAUAUUGGUCAAUGGGCGCGAGCCUGACCCAGCCAAGUAGCGUGAAGGAUGACUGCCCUACGGGUUGUAAACUUCUUUUAUAAAGGAAUAAAGUGAGGCACGUGUGCCUUUUUGUAUGUACUUUAUGAAUAAGGAUCGGCUAACUCCGUGCCAGCGGCCGCGGUAAUACGGGGGAUCCGAGCGUUAUCCGGAUUUAUUGGGUUUAAAGGGAGCGUAGAUGGGUUGUUAAGUCAGUUGUGAAAGUUUGCGGCUAAACCGUAAAAUUGCAAUGGAUACUGGCAGUCAUGAGUACAGUUGGGGUAGGAGGAUGUCGGGUUGUAGCGGGAAAUGGCUUAGAUAUCACGAAGAACUCCGAUUGCGAAGGCAGCUUACUAAACUGCCACUGACAUUGAUGCUCGAAAGUGUGGGUAUCAAACAGGAUUAGAUACCCUAGUAGU